AGAGUUUGAUUAUGGCUCAGGAUGAACGCUGGCGGCGUGCUUAACACAUGCAAGUCGAACGGAGUUUUUAAACGGAAGUUUUCGGAUGGAAGUUUAGAAACUUAGUGGCGGACGGGUGAGUAACGCGUGGGUAACCUGCCUCAUACAGGGGGAUAACAGUUAGAAAUGACUGCUAACACCGCAUAAUAUAGCGAAACCGCAUGAUUUUUGCUAUCAAAUAUUUAUAGGUAUGAGAUGGGCCCGCGUCUGAUUAGCUAGUUGGUGGGGUAAAAGUCUACCAAGGCGACGAUCAGUAGCCGGCUUGAGAGAGUGACCGGCCACAUGGGACUGAGACACGGCCCAAACUCCUACGGGAGGCAGCAGUGGGGAAUAUUGGACAAUGGGGGAAACCCUGAUCCAGCCGACGCCGCGUGAGUGAAGAAGUAUUUCGGUAUGUAAAGCUCUAUCAGCAGGGAAGAUAAUGACAGUACCUGACUAAGAAGCCCCGGCUAACUACGUGCCAGCCGCCGC
This 510-nucleotide ribosomal RNA is filed under the name uncultured bacterium. Its description in RNAcentral is "bacterial SSU rRNA". It matches the Rfam family "Bacterial small subunit ribosomal RNA", at positions 8 to 518 of the family's 1533-position model. The record is from RNAcentral.